This 433-nucleotide ribosomal RNA is filed under the name uncultured bacterium. RNAcentral describes it as "partial 16S ribosomal RNA". It matches the Rfam family "Bacterial small subunit ribosomal RNA", at positions 28 to 507 of the family's 1533-position model. The record is from RNAcentral.
AGCGAACGCUGGCGGCAGGCUUAACACAUGCAAGUCGAGCGGGCACUUCGGGGUCUGCGGCGGACGGGGGUGUCACGCGUGGGAACGUGCCUUCUGGUCUGGCAUACCUCUGGGACACUAGGGCUAAUACCGGAUACGCCCUUUUGGGGAAAGGUUUACUGCCGGACGAUCGGCCCUCGUCUGAUUAGCUAGUUGGUGGGGUAACGGCCGACCAAGGCGACGAUCAGUAGCUGGUCUGAGAGGAUGAUCAGCCACACUGGGACUGGGACACGGCCCAGACUCCUACGGGAGGCAGCAGUGGGGAAUAUUGGACAAUGGGCGCAAGCCUGAUCCAGCCAUGCCGCGGGAGUGAUGAAGGCCUUAGGGUUGUAAAGCUCUUUUAUCCGGGACGAUAAUGACGGUACCGGAGGAAUAAGCCCCGGCUAACUUCGUG